GGUGGGAUCGCAUAGUGGCCUAGUGCGGUUGUUUCGAAAACAACUGUCCGGGAAACUGGACCGGAGGUUCGAAUCCUCCUCCCACCGCCC
RNAcentral lists this transfer RNA (90 nucleotides) under Candidatus Daviesbacteria bacterium RIFCSPHIGHO2_01_FULL_37_27. RNAcentral describes it as "tRNA-Ser". It matches the Rfam family "tRNA". Rfam says of the family: Transfer RNA (tRNA) molecules are approximately 80 nucleotides in length. Their secondary structure includes four short double-helical elements and three loops (D, anti-codon, and T loops). The record is from RNAcentral. Lineage: Bacteria; Candidatus Daviesiibacteriota.